This 77-nucleotide transfer RNA is filed under the name Candidatus Magasanikbacteria bacterium RIFOXYC2_FULL_42_28. Its description in RNAcentral is "tRNA-Met". It matches the Rfam family "tRNA". From Rfam's summary of the family: Transfer RNA (tRNA) molecules are approximately 80 nucleotides in length. Lineage: Bacteria; Candidatus Magasanikiibacteriota. The record is from RNAcentral.
AGCGGGGUAGAGCAACCUGGCAGCUCGCGAGGCCCAUAACCUCGAGGUUCCCGGUUCAAAUCCGGGCCCCGCAACUA